This 266-nucleotide long non-coding RNA is filed under the name Lathyrus oleraceus (garden pea). RNAcentral describes it as "Pisum sativum (pea) long non-coding RNA (PSAT_LNC011244)". Lineage: Eukaryota; Viridiplantae; Streptophyta; Magnoliopsida; Fabales; Fabaceae. The record is from RNAcentral.
UGAACUUCUAUUGGCCUUGGAUCAUGAUGGUUUGGACUUCAAGUCUCAUCAAACUCAAUGGAUCUUGGGUGUUGAUGGGGUGAAAACCAUAAUCCACCAAAAUGGAUGAUUGAUUUUGAUGAUGACUUAAUCAAACUUUUGAUUAUCAAACUCAAUGGAUCUUGGGUGUUGAUGGGGUGAAAACCAUAAUCCACCAAAAUGGAUGAUUGAUUUUGAUGAUGACUUAAUCAAACUUUUGAUCCAAUUUGGGUGUGACCUCUCUUGAU